GCGGGAGUCCCGUAGCGGCAAUCGGGUCAGGUUCAGGGCCUGAUGGCUUAGUGCCUUCGGGGGUUCGAGUCCUCCCUCCCGCA
Molecule: transfer RNA, 83 nt
Filed under: Candidatus Iainarchaeum sp.
Lineage: Archaea; Nanobdellati; Candidatus Iainarchaeota; Candidatus Iainarchaeia; Candidatus Iainarchaeales; Candidatus Iainarchaeaceae
Description: tRNA-Leu
Rfam family: tRNA
About the family: Transfer RNA (tRNA) molecules are approximately 80 nucleotides in length. Their secondary structure includes four short double-helical elements and three loops (D, anti-codon, and T loops).
Source: RNAcentral